AAAGACCCAUCUUUAACCAAGGUUGACCUCGGAUCAGGUAGGAAUACCCGCUGAACUUAAGCAUAUCAAUAAGCGGAGGAAAAGAAACCAACAGGGAUUGCCCUAGUAACGGCGAGUGAAGCGGCAACAGCUCAAAUUUGAAAUCUGGCUUCGGCCCGAGUUGUAAUUUGUAGAGGAUGCUUUUGGUGAGGUGCCUUCUGAGUUCCCUGGAACGGGACGCCAGAGAGGGUGAGAGCCCCGUAUAGUCGGCCACCGAUCCUUUGUAAAGCUCCUUCGACGAGUCGAGUAGUUUGGGAAUGCUGCUCAAAAUGGGAGGUAUAUCUCUUCUAAAGCUAAAUAUAGGCCAGAGACCGAUAGCGCACAAGUAGAGUGAUCGAAAGAUGAAAAGCACUUUGAAAAGAGGGUUAAAUAGCACGUGAAAUUGUUGAAAGGGAAGCGCUUGUGACCAGACUUGUGCCGGGCUGAUCAUCCAGUGUUCUCACUGGUGCACUCGACCCGGCUCAGGCCAGCGUCGGUUUUCGUGGGGGGAUAAAAGCUUCGGGAACGUGGCACCUUCGGGUGUGUUAUAGCCCGUUGCUUAAUACCUCCGUGGAGACCGAGGUUCGC
Molecule: ribosomal RNA, 606 nt
Filed under: Sordariomycetes sp. genotype 32
Lineage: Eukaryota; Fungi; Ascomycota; Sordariomycetes
Description: eukaryotic LSU rRNA
Rfam family: Eukaryotic large subunit ribosomal RNA
Source: RNAcentral